AGUCGAGCGGAAACGAGAAUAGCUUGCUAUUCGGCGUCGAGCGGCGGACGGGUGAGUAAUGCUUGGGAACAUGCCUUGAGGUGGGGGACAACAGUUGGAAACGACUGCUAAUACCGCAUAAUGUCUUCGGACCAAAGGAGGGGAUCUUCGGACCUUUCGCCUUUAGAGUGGCCCAAGUGAGAUUAGCUAGUUGGUGGGGUAAAGGCCUACCAAGGCGACGAUCUCUAGCUGGUUUGAGAGGAUGAUCAGCCACACUGGGACUGAGACACGGCCCAGACUCCUACGGGAGGCAGCAGUGGGGAAUAUUGCACAAUGGGGGAAACCCUGAUGCAGCCAUGCCGCGUGUGUGAAGAAGGCCCUCGGGUUGUAAAGCACUUUCAGUCGUGAGGAAAGGUUUGUAGCUAAUAUCUGCAAGCUGUGACGUUAGCGACAGAAGAAGCACCGGCUAACUCCGUGCCAGCAGCCGCGGUAAUACGGAGGGUGCGAGCGUUAAUCGGAAUUACUGGGCGUAAAGCGUGCGUAGGCGGUUUCUUAAGCGAGAUGUGAAAUCCCGGGGCUCAACCUCGGAACUGCAUUUCGAACUGGGUGACUAGAGUACUGUAGAGGGUGGUGGAAUUUCCAGUGUAGCGGUGAAAUGCGUAGAGAUUGGAAGGAACAUCAGUGGCGAA
Molecule: ribosomal RNA, 668 nt
Filed under: uncultured Colwelliaceae bacterium
Lineage: Bacteria; Pseudomonadati; Pseudomonadota; Gammaproteobacteria; Alteromonadales; Colwelliaceae
Description: bacterial SSU rRNA
Rfam family: Bacterial small subunit ribosomal RNA
Source: RNAcentral